GCUGCUAUAAUACAAGCGCUUGUUCUGUGUGUGACAGCUAACUUGCUUAUUUUUCGCCCUUGGCUAGUAUACGCGCAGCUGGUUUAUGUUAUAGACAACGUAAACGUCACAUCGGAAGAUCAAUGCCAUUUCAAUGGAACGUACUAUCCUAACGGCAAUUUCAGUACGUGGUUUCCCACCUGCUAUAUGGCCUUGUGUAAUACAACAGCUACAGAGCUAACGCUUGUCGUGUGUGAUGCAAAGUCAAACUCUCCUUGUAGUAUGCCGGCAGUUCCGAAGGAUGGAUAUCCUGCAUGCUGCCCCGAUCCCAUUUGUUGAAGAGAGACAGCGAGCAUUAUUAUUGAUUACAAGCAACGGUGGGCAAACAGCCAAAAUUAAAAUGUUGGUGUGAAGUUAGUAUCA
Molecule: long non-coding RNA, 402 nt
Filed under: Dermacentor andersoni
Lineage: Eukaryota; Metazoa; Arthropoda; Arachnida; Ixodida; Ixodidae
Description: uncharacterized LOC126534321
Source: RNAcentral